UUGGAGGGCAAGUCUGGUGCCAGCAGCCGCGGUAAUUCCAGCUCCAAUAGCGUAUAUUAAAGUUGUUGCAGUUAAAAAGCUCGUAGUUGAAUUUCGGGGUUAGUAGGUUGGUCAUGCCUCUGGUAUGUACUGGUCUCACUGAUUCCUCCUUCCUGAUGAACCUUAAUGCCAUUAAUUUGGUGUUUUGGGGAAUUUGGACUGUUACUUUGAAAAAAUUAGAGUGUUUAAAGCAAGCUAACGCUUGAAUACAUUAGCGUGGAAUAAUGAAAUAGGACGUUCGAUCCUAUUUUGUUGGUCUCUAGGAUUGACGUAAUGAUUAAUAGGGAUAGUUGGGGGCAUUAGUAUUCAAUUGCCAGAGGUGAAAUUCUUGGAUUUAUUGAAGACUAACUACUGCGAAAGCAUUUGCCAAGGAUGUUAUCAUUAAUCAAGAACGAAAGUUAGGGGAUCGAAGACGAUCAGAUACCGUCGUAGUCUUGACCAUAAACUAUGCUGACUAGGGAUCGGAUGAUGUUAAUUUUUUAAUGACUCAUUCGGCGCCUACGGGAAACCAAAGUGUUUGGGUUC
This 564-nucleotide ribosomal RNA is filed under the name uncultured Glomeromycotina. RNAcentral's name for it is "SSU rRNA". It matches the Rfam family "Eukaryotic small subunit ribosomal RNA", at positions 548 to 1114 of the family's 1831-position model. Lineage: Eukaryota; Fungi; Glomeromycota. The record is from RNAcentral.